UACAGAGGUCCCAAGCGUUGUUCGGAUUCACUAGGCGUAAAGGGUGCGUAGGCGGUUUGAUAAGUCUGAUGUGAAAUCCCGCAGCUUAACUGCGGAACUGCAUUGGAAACUAUUUGACUAGAGGAAUGGAGGGGAGACUGGAAUACUUGGUGUAGCAGUGAAAUGCGUAGAUAUCAAGUGGAACACCAGUGGCGAAGGCGAGUCUCUGGACAUUUCCUGACGCUGAGGCACGAAAGCCAGGGGAGCAAACGGG
Molecule: ribosomal RNA, 253 nt
Filed under: uncultured bacterium
Lineage: Bacteria
Description: partial 16S ribosomal RNA
Rfam family: Bacterial small subunit ribosomal RNA
Source: RNAcentral